UGGGGAAUAUUGGACAAUGGGCGCAAGCCUGAUCCAGCCAUGCCGCGUGAGUGAUGAAGGCCUUAGGGUUGUAAAGCUCUUUCGACGGGGACGAUAAUGACGGUACCCGUAGAAGAAGCCCCGGCUAACUUCGUGCCAGCAGCCGCGGUAAUACGAAGGGGGCUAGCGUUGCUCGGAAUCACUGGGCGUAAAGGGCGCGUAGGCGGACGUUUAAGUCAGAGGUGAAAGCCCCAGGGCUCAACCCUGGAAUGGCCCUUUUGAUACUGGACGUCUUGAGUCUGGUAGAGGUUGGUGGAACUGCGAGUGUAGAGGUGAAAUUCGUAGAUAUUCGCAAGAACGCCGGUGGCGAAGGCGGCCAACUGGACCAGAACUGACGCUG
This 379-nucleotide ribosomal RNA is filed under the name uncultured bacterium. Its description in RNAcentral is "partial 16S ribosomal RNA". It matches the Rfam family "Bacterial small subunit ribosomal RNA", at positions 355 to 748 of the family's 1533-position model. The record is from RNAcentral.